This 385-nucleotide ribosomal RNA is filed under the name uncultured bacterium. RNAcentral's name for it is "bacterial SSU rRNA". It matches the Rfam family "Bacterial small subunit ribosomal RNA", at positions 30 to 417 of the family's 1533-position model. The record is from RNAcentral.
AUUGAACGCUGGCGGCAUGCCUUACACAUGCAAGUCGAACGGCAGCGGACCUUCGGGUGCCGGCGAGUGGCGAACGGGUGAGUAAUAUAUCGGAACGUACCUUUCAGUGGGGGAUAACGUAGCGAAAGUUACGCUAAUACCGCAUAUUCUGUGAGCAGGAAAGCAGGGGAUCGCAAGACCUUGCGCCGAUUGAGCGGCCGAUAUCAGAUUAGCUAGUUGGUGAGGUAAAGGCUCACCAAGGCGACGAUCUGUAGCGGGUCUGAGAGGAUGAUCCGCCACACUGGAACUGAGACACGGUCCAGACUCCUACGGGAGGCAGCAGUGGGGAAUUUUGGACAAUGGGCGCAAGCCUGAUCCAGCCAUGCCGCGUGAGUGAAGAAGGCCU